CAUGGGCCCUGUAGGGCUUGGAUGAGAUCCAGAAACAUGCCUGUGGCCCCUAGAUAGUGGCAGGGAGGGGACUGAGAGGCAACAUGCCAAUCAGGGCAUCACUGUGAUGGUAGGCAAGGGGACUCCCUGACAUUAUCCCUGACAGGAGCUGAGGAGGGAGGGGUGCAGUGUAAGGGACCAGGUUGAGAGAAUGGCUGAACAUCUUCCAAGGGACUGUGGCCCCUUGACUGCUCAGAUGGCUCCUUACCCCCUAGUUGCAGGGCCUGGCUCAGGCCAGGAGGGGCUGAGAUUGAGCUCAGUAGCCAGGACUCACUCACUGGUCUGGCUUCUCUUAUUUCCAUCCAGAUGACCUCUCCUCACCACACUAAUUUCCAGUAAGCCACUGGGGUCAGGACUAGUUCCCAGUAGUGGAUGAUGUGGAGAGCAGCCUGAGAGCCUGUCAGUUCUUUCUUCAGCACCAAGGCAAGUUAAUGUGCAACAUUUGGCCAUUGGUCACUGGAGGGCCAGCUGGAGAGUAGGCGGCCCCAGCACUGUCAUGGGAGGUCCCAAUAUCACUCCCCUUUUCCUCUCUGACCAAAAUAAUAAAUUAUUUCUUCUCUGCCUUAGACCUGGGAGUGGAGAACACUGCUGAGGUAGUGGACAGAUGACCCACAAAGUCCCCAAGACUCAAGUCUGAUGAAGAGAACAAUACAUCCCGGCAUUAUAGAUAACCUUUCCUUCCUUCUCUACCUAAACAAUACUACAUUCUUCAGAGGCCUAUGGAAUCAGAAAUCACAGGAGCCCACACGAAGUCCUCACUUACCUCACUUACACAGUUUUUCAAGACCCAGUGUGCUGGCACAAAUCCGUAAACUGGAUCAGACAGAAGGCAAUUUCUGGAAGAGAGAAAUAAGCAUCUGGACAAUUUUUAUAAACACCCCCUUGGCACCAGGAUGGUGUGCUUGCUGCUGACGUGUUUUGGCCAGUACAUGACCACUCUAAAGAGAAGCAUGCUGGGUAUGAAGGCCAGGCUUGUCCUGAGUCCCACUGAGUAGGGGAGGAGGGGAAAAAAACUUUCUUGCUUCCUACAAAUCCUGAAGCAAGGGAAUGAUCAGUUUGGUUGACAGAGAAAGACUAGAGGGGGUACAAUGUUGCAGCGAUGGUCCAAGUUUCUCCUGGUGAGAGGAAACAGUCUCAGGUCCUCCCAGUUGGAGGAAGGGAUGCAGUCCUCCCUAGCACAGCAUCCUGUCUGUAGCUGGAAGCCCUGGUCCCUCUUAGACGAGGCUUUAAGAGCAAACGUGGCACCUACUUUUAGGAAGCCUGGGGUCUGAUGGGGAAAACUGUUGCUGUCCUCAGGGACCUCAGAAGUAGAAAUGUGGUUGGAAAUAUCAUCCUGGAUAGGAGCUUCUGGGGGGAAACCAGGAAUUGCUUGCUUUUCCAAAACAGUUUCCAGGCAGCUUCUUUCUGUAGGGGGACCUUUCCUGUCUCCAGCGAUCUGAGGGGAAGCAAGACAUUGAAUCCAUUCCUCAGCUAAGGCCUUUCUGUUCUUAUAGGCCAAAAUAAAAGGGACUCAACCUCCUGGUGUCA
Vulpes vulpes (red fox) is the source of this 1566-nucleotide long non-coding RNA. Lineage: Eukaryota; Metazoa; Chordata; Mammalia; Carnivora; Canidae. The record is from Ensembl.